This 603-nucleotide ribosomal RNA is filed under the name uncultured bacterium. RNAcentral describes it as "bacterial SSU rRNA". The stretch from base 1 to 520 matches the Rfam family "Bacterial small subunit ribosomal RNA", at positions 338 to 873 of the family's 1533-position model. The record is from RNAcentral.
CCUACGGGAGGCAGCAGUGGGGAAUAUUGCGCAAUGGGCGAAAGCCUGACGCAGCGACGCCGCGUGAGUGACGAAGUCUUUCGGGAUGUAAAACUCUGUCGAGUGGGAUGAUAAUGACAGUACCACUGGAGGAAGCCCCGGCUAACUACGUGCCAGCAGCCGCGGUAAUACGUAGGGGGCGAGCGUUAUCCGGAUUUAUUGGGCAUAAAGAGCGUGUAGGUUGUAUCUUAAGUCAGUUGUUAAAUCCCCCGGNUCAACCGGGGUUCGCAAUUGAUACUGGGAUGCUAGAGAUUGGGAGAGGAAAGCGGAACUCACGGUGUAGCGGUGAAAUGCGUAGAUAUCGUGAGGAACACCAGUUGCGAAGGCGGCUUUCUGGACCAAAUCUGACACUCAAGCGCGAAAGCGUGGGGAGCAAACGGGAUUAGAUACCCCGGUAGUCCACGCUGUAAACGGUGUUCACUAGGUGUGGGAAGGUAUCGGACCCCUUCCGUGCCCACAGAUAUUACGUUAGUAGACCGCCGUCGGAGUACGACCGACGAACGUUAAACGUUAAAGUAAGUAGUACGACGACGAGACGACGCGACGACGACGACGACGGAGGAG